ACAUGGCGUCUGUAAACAAAAAAAGGAAAGUUGACCGCGAGGGCCGCCGCUUCCAGGACAAGUGGAAAUUUGAGUAUUUUUUCACUGAAAUACGAAACAACUGUGUCUGCCUAAUUUGCCAAGAGACUGUGGCUGUUUUCAAGGAAUUCAACAUCAAGAGGCACUACCAGACGAAACAUGCUAGUGGCAACGCUGAUUGCAAAGCACUGCAAACCUUUCACUGAGGGUGAAUUUAUUAAAGACCGUGUAAUGAAAAUGGUUGAGAAAAUUUGUCCCGCGAAGAAGCAAGAGUUUGCCAAUAUUUGCCUGGCUCGUAAUACUGUGGUACGGAGAAUUGAAGACGUUUCAUUAGAUAUUAAGAGACAGUUAGAGGCAAAAGGAACUGAGUUUGACUUUUUCUCGUUAGCGUGCGAUGAAAGCACGGAUGCGUCCGACACCGCUCAGUUACUGAUCUUUUUAAGAGGAGUGGACAAUGACAUGAACGUGAGUGAAGAGCUUCUGGACCUCCAGAGUCUGAAGGGGCAAACAAGAGGAACGGAUUUAUUUGUUUCUGUUUGUUCCACCGUAGAUGACAUGAAACUACAGUGGAAUAAAGUCACCGGGAUUAUUACGGACGGCGCACCUGCCAUUAUCAAGCCUUGUCUGUAACAAAGUCAGCGAAGAAGGAGGCAGCGCUAUUAAACUCCACUGUAUUAUUCAUCAAGAAGUUCUCUGUGCCAAAUAUAUGAAAUAUGAUAAUGUUAUGAAACCGGUGAUAAAGACUAUUAAUUAUAUUCGCUCCAAAGCGCUGUGCCACCGCCAGUUUCAACAGUUUCUUCUCGACAUCCAGGCUGAAUAUGGAGAUGUUUUGUAUCACACCGACGUAAGGUGGCUCAGUCGGGGGUCUGCGCUGCAGCGCUUCUUCUCUCUCAGGGAGGAAAUUGGACAAUUCUUGACUAAAAAGGGACAACCCAUGCCACAAUUAAAUGAUCCUGUUUGGCUGGCUGAUUUGGGAUUUUUAGUUGACAUAACGCGACAUCUGAAUGCGCUGAACACAAGCCUUCAAGGGCAAAAUGCAGUGGUAAGCCAACUGUAUUCACACAUCAAAGCCUUUCGGACCAAGCUGCUACUUUUCCAAAGACACCUGUCACAGGCGCAGCCCAAUACCGCACAUUUCCCGUCGCUGCAGGUAAUUGUGACCAGUUUCCCACAGAUCAAUAUCAGUGCGCAAAUGACAAAGUAUGCAGCAGACAUCUCAUCUCUGGUUGAGGAGUUUCAGCAGCGCUUUCGGGACUUUGCAGCUAUUGAAAAGGAGAUCACGCUUUUUUCCUCUCCUUUCUCCGUGGACCCUGAUGACGCUCCAGACCACCUGCAACUGGAGCUCAUUGAGCUGCAGUGUGACGCCGAGCAUCGCAGUCGGCACCAACAGCUCCCUCUUGUCAACUUCUACCGCCAGCUGGAUGAAGGCAGGUUCCAAGCAAUUCGGACAUUUGCUAAGAAAAUGCUGAGCUUGUUUGGCUUCACAUACAUGUGCGAGAAGACAUUCUCCGUUAUGAACAUUAACAAGAGCCGCAUGAGGACGAGACUGAGUGACUCUCACCUGCGUGACGUCUUGCGCAUCAAAACCACUGCUCUUGAGCCAGACAUGGACUACAUACUGCAGUCAAGAUCCCAGUAUCACCCUUCACAUUAGUGCAGAUAUGUAAUGAUCUCCAAGCUUCUCCAGCUCAGCGUCUCACCUGCCAUCUGCCAGUGGAUCUAUAACUUCCUGAUGGGCAAGCACAGCAGAGGAGGCUGGGAGAAACCACCUCCUCCACACACACCAUUGUGGCCGGGGCACACUAACGUUGUGUCCUCUCCCCUCUGCCCUCUCCACAUGUACCUGCACCUCAAGGAUCCACAGCUGUAAAACUCAUGAAGUUCGCACAUGACACCACAGUCAUCACCCUCAUCAAAGACAGCGACGAGUUUGUGUAUCCACAGGAAGUGGUGAGAGUGGAGCUUUGGGUAGCCAGCACAACCUGGUGUUGAUCACUCUAAAGACCGUAGAGAUGAUUGUGGACUUCAGGAGGCAUCCUUCACCUUUACCACAGCUGCCCCUCAUGCUGUCCAACUGUCUUGUGUCAACUGUCGAGACCUUCAACUUCUUGGGAAUUCCAGUAUCACAGGACAUGAAGUGGGAAACAAACAUCAACUUCAUCCUCACAAAAGCCCAGUAAAGGAUGUACUUCGUGCAGUUUCUGAGAGCCGCUGAGACAAUUCUAGACAGGGGGUCAUUGAAUUAGAAAUGUGUACCUCAAUCACAGUCUGAUUUGCGGCUGCCAUAAAAAAGGAUAAACUCAGACUGCAAUGGACAAUCAGAACUCCUGAAGGAUUGUCGGCACCACACUACCCAUCCUUGAGGACUUGCAUGCCACUCGAACAAGGACAAGAACGGACAAGAUCUUUUUGGACCCUCCACAUCCGGGCCACCAGCUCUUUCCAUCAGCUUCGACCAUGAAGGGCCAGCCACAGCCAGUCAUCUUCUUCCAUGAAAGACCUUCUCUUCUCCCUGGAGCCUCACUCUUCCCCCUCGCCCCCUCUCAUUCACACAUACAUAUUGUUUUACUUCGGCUGAUUUUCAUUCCUCUCCUUUCCAGUGCAUGCCUCAAUCUUUAUAACUGUUCCCCCACAUGCUCCAAGCUUUCAGUGCAAAUAACAAUGUCAUCUGCAAACAUCAUUGUUAAAGGAAAUUCCAGUCCAACAUCAUCUGUCAACCAAAGCAUUAACACAGCAAACAGGAAGGGACUCAGAGCUGAUCCCUAAUACAGUCCCACCUCCACUUAAAUUCUUCUGUCACACCUACGGCACACCUCACCAUUGUUCUGCUGACAUCAUACAUGUCCUGUACUAUUGUAACAUAUUUCUCCACCACACCAGACUUACGCAUGCAGGACCACAGUUCCUCUCUUGGUGUUCUGUCAUGGGCUUUCUCUACAGCCACAAAGACACAAGGUAGCACCUUCGGACCUUCUCUGGACUUUUCCACUAGCAUUCUCAAGGCAAAUAAUGUAUCUGGUACUCUUUCUAGGAAUGAAGCCACACUGUUGCUUGCAGAUACUUAGUUCUGUCCUGAAUACAACUCUUUACCAUAACUUCAUUGUGUGGCUCAUCAACUUUAUUCCUCUAUAGUUCACACAGCUCUACAAAUCGCCUUAGUUCUUAAAAUUGGGAACACUUUUCUUCUAUUCUUCAGGCAUCUUCUCAACCACUGGUAUUCUGUUGAAUAAGUUGGUCAAAAACUCCACCACCACUUCUCCAAAUUGCUUCAAUUCCUCCACAGGUAUGUCAUCGGGACCAACUGCCUUUUCAUUUUUCAUCCUUUGUAGUGCCUUUCUAACUUCCCCUUUACUAAUCAUUGCCACUUCUUGGUCCAUCACACUUGCCUCUUAUACUCUUCCUUCUCCUUAUUUUCUUCAUUCAUCAACUUCUCAAAGUAUUCUUUCCAUCUAUUUACUACACUACUGGCACCAGUUAACACAUUUCCAUCUUUAUUCGUAAUCACAUUUACCUGCUGUCCAUCCUUCCGAUUUCAAUCCAUCUGUCUGGCCAACCUGUAGGGAUUCUUUUCUCCUCCUUUUGUGUCCAACCUAGUGUACAUGUCAUCAUAUGUCUCGUGUUUAGCCUUCGCCACCUCUACCUUUUCCCUAAAUUGCAUCUCAAUGUAUUCCUUUCACCUCUCCUCAGUCCUUUCAGUGUCCCACUUUUUCGACAACCUCUUUCUUUGUAUGACUUCCUGUAUUUUUGGGUUCCACCACCAAGUUUCCUUCUCCCCUUUCCUACCAGAAGACGCGCCAAGUACUCUCCUGCCUUUCUUUCUGAUCACCUUGGCUGUAAAAGUCAUGUCUUCCGGGAGCUCCUCCUGUUCAUCGAUAGCCUGUCUCACCUCUUUCCGAAAGGCCACACAAUAGUCUUCCUUUCUUGGCUUCUACUACAUGGUUCUGUGCUCUACCUUUGUCUUCUUAAUUACCCUUCCCACCACCAGAGUCAUCCUACACACCACCAUCCUAUGCUUUUCAGCUACACUCUCCUCUAGCACUGCCUUACACUCAGUAACUUCCUUCAGGUGACAUCCUCUGCACCAAAUGUAAUCCACCUGCGUGCUACUUCGUCUGCUCUUGUAAGUCACCCUAUGUUCCUGCCUUUUCUGGAAAAAAAGAGUUCACAACUGACAUUUCUAUCCUUUUUUGUAAACUCCACCACCAACUGUCCCUUAAAAUUCCAUUCCUGGAUACUCUACUUGCCCAUCACUUCUUCAUCGUCCUUAUUUCCUUCACCAACAACUCUGUGUUUGGGAUGCAAAGGGAUCUACUUCAUCUCGGUCCUUCCAGAAUUUCGCUUUCAACUCUAGGUCACAUCCUAACCUGUGGGGCAUAGCCGCUAAUCACAUUAUACAUAGCACCCUCAAUUUCAAAUUUAACAUCAUCACUCAAUCUGAUACUCUUCACCUCCAAGACAUUGUUAGCCAGCUCUUCCUUUAAAAUAAGCCCUUAUCCAUUUCUCUUCCCGUUUACUCGAUGGUAAAAUAAUUUAAACCCAGCUCCUAAACUUCUAGCCUUACUACCUUUCCACCUGCACUCUUGGAUGGACAAUUUCUCCUAAUCAUCAUGUCAACCAACUCCUGAGCUUUUCCUGUCCCUACACUCAGUUGUGUCAUGAUCCUGCCGCUCCAGCCCGGGCUGUGUGGGUGCCCGCGCGGUCGCGCCAAUUGGGAAGCACACACCUGCGCCUCAUGCGGGCUGAUUAUUCCCUGUGUAUAUAUAGGACCCCGAUGACGACUGGUUGUCGGCCAGAUUGUUGAGGUUCAUGUCCCGUUCCAGCAUUCUAGUAUCCCUGAUCGUCAACCCGUGUGUACCGACAUACGCUGUAAACCUGACUCCCUUGAUACUCCUGGCUGCUUUGCUCAUUCUCCCGUGUACCGACUCCUGCCUGCCCGCUGACUUGCUCUCUACGCCCGACGUCCCAACUACCACUGCUGCACCGGACUGCCUGCCCGAUCCCAGACCUUCUAAUAAUAAACGUUUUUCCCCGAACUACCUUGCAUCUUCCGAAUCCUGCAUUUGGGUCGUGACAGUUGUAGGCUCUGUGCAUUCCUCUACUUCUGCUGAUGAAUCCACUUUCCUCCUCUUCUUUGUCUUUUACCCACGGUCGCUGAAUUUCAACCGACUCCUUGCAGGUGUUUUUUUAAGCUCUUGCUCCCAAGUAUCGUAUGCCUAAGUCGACUAUUUUGACUAUCCUAAAGAAUGAAAAUGUAACAAAAGGCAGCUAGUGUUGAGUGACGAGCAUUAGAAAGCAAAGGCCAGAGAUGCUAGGGGAAAUGGAGAUGCUACUGGAGAAUUACGACGUCCGAUCGUAGAGGGGUGACUUUGACACCUUACCCUUUCUGCUCGAGCCCCUCCGAUGCCACCGGACCGCUACCAAAAAGGUAAGUGAUACACAUUUAAGUUGGUUUUAGUUUAUGCAUUUUUAAUUGUUGAAAUGCAGGGUGUACAUGUUUUUACAUAAAUAGGAACUACAAUGGGAAUUUACGAUUUGGAGGUUAGGAACAGCUGAAACUCAUUGCCAUUAUUUCCAAUGGAAAAAGCAUGUUUUGGAAGUUGAACAACUCUGAUUUUGAACACUUCACAAAAACAAAUUAUGUUUAGAAUCUUAGGUUCCACUGUACACUUUUAUUGUGAAGAAAACAAGCAUUUUAACACCCAGCUAUAUUGCAAGUUCUCCGACUUAGAAAUCAUUGAGGGGUCUGAAAUUUUCAUCGUAGGUGCAUGUCCACUCUUCUUCUUCUUUUCCUUUCAGCUUGUCCCGUUAGGGGUCGCCACAGCGUGUUAUCUUUUGCCAUCUUAGCCUAUCUCCUGCAUCUUCCUCUCUAACCCCAACUGCCCUCAUGUCUUCCCUCACCACAUCCAUAGACCUUCUCUUUGGUCUUCCUCUCGCUCUUUUGCCUGGGAGCUCCAUCCUCAGCAUCCUUCUACCAAUAUACUCACUCUCUCGCCUCUGAACAUGUCCAAACCAUCGAAGUCUGCUCUCUCGAAUGUUGUCUCCAAAACAUCCAGCUUUGGCUGUCCCUCUAAUGAGCUCAUUUCUAAUCCUAUCCAACCUCGUCACUCCGAGCGAGAACCUCAACAUCUUCAUUUCUGCCACCUCCAACUCUGCUUCCUGUUCUCUCUUCAGUGCCACAGUCACCACUGUUUUACAAACUUUGCCCUUCAUCCUAGCAGACACUCUUCUGUCACAUAACACACCAGACACCUUUCGCCAGCAGUUCCAACCUGCUUGGACCUUUCUUCACUUCCUUACCACACUCACCAUUGCUCUGGAUUGCUGACCCCAAGUAUUUGAAGUCAUCCACCCUCGCUAUCUCUUCUCCCUGUAGCCUCACUCUUCCCCCUCCACUUUUCUCAUUCACGCACAUAUACUCUGUUUUACUUCGGCUAAUCUUCAUUCCUCUCCUUUCCAGUGCAUGUCUCCAUCUUUCUAAUUGUUCCUCUGCAUGCUCCC
This is an RNA transcript of Syngnathoides biaculeatus (alligator pipefish), 6516 nucleotides long. It is a transcript of the gene named general transcription factor II-I repeat domain-containing protein 2B-like, with no coding region annotated. NCBI's taxonomy places the organism in Eukaryota, Metazoa, Chordata, Actinopteri, Syngnathiformes, Syngnathidae. The transcript is spliced from 3 exons. The record is from RefSeq and is a predicted model, not a curated record.